This 62-nucleotide transfer RNA is filed under the name Batracomorphus extentus. Its description in RNAcentral is "tRNA-Trp". The record is from RNAcentral. Lineage: Eukaryota; Metazoa; Arthropoda; Insecta; Hemiptera; Cicadellidae.
AAGAUUUUAAGUUAAAUAAACUAUUAACCUUCAAAGUUUAAAAUACAAUAAAGUAAAUCUUA